RNAcentral lists this ribosomal RNA (552 nucleotides) under uncultured archaeon. RNAcentral's name for it is "bacterial SSU rRNA". It matches the Rfam family "Archaeal small subunit ribosomal RNA", at positions 325 to 879 of the family's 1478-position model. The record is from RNAcentral.
ACGGGGUGCAGCAGGCGCGAAACCUUUACACUGCACGAAAGUGCGAUAAGGGGAUUCCAAGUGUGCAUAUACCAUAUGCACUUUUUCGGAGUUUAAAAAGCUCCGGGAAUAAGGGGAGGGCAAGCCUGGUGUCAGCCGCCGCGGUAAUACCAGCUCCCCGAGUGGUUGGGAUGUUUAUUGGGCCUAAAGCAUCCGUAGCCGGUUCUGUAGGUCUCCCGUUAAAUUCAACGGCUCAACCGUUGAGCUGCCGGAGAUACCGCAGGGCUAGGAGGCGGGAGAGGCGGACGGUACUCCGUGGGUAGGGGCAAAAUCCUCUGAUCCACGGAAGACCACCAGUGGCGAAGGCGGUCUGCCAGAACGCGCUCGACGGUGAGGGGUGAAAGCUGGGGGAGCGAACCGGAUUAGAUACCCGGGUAGUCCCAGCUGUAAACGAUGCGAGCUAGGUGAUUGAGUGACCACGCGUUACUCAAGUGCCGCAUGGAAGCAGUUAAGCUCGCCGCCUGGGGAGUAUGGUCGCAAGACUGAAACUUAAAGGAAUUGGCGGGGGAGCAC